Molecule: ribosomal RNA, 254 nt
Filed under: uncultured bacterium
Lineage: Bacteria
Description: partial 16S ribosomal RNA
Rfam family: Bacterial small subunit ribosomal RNA
Source: RNAcentral
UACGGAGGGUGCGAGCGUUAUCCGGAAUCACUGGGUUUAAAGGGUGCGUAGGCGGCCAGAUAAGUCAGUCGUGAAAUCGCUGGGCUCAACCCAUGCAAUUGCGAUUGAUACUGUUUGGCUUGAAUUGGGUUCAGGCAGGCGGAAUGUGGCAUGUAGCGGUGAAAUGCUUAGAUAUGCCAUAGAACACCGAUUGCGAAGGCAGCUUGCUGGGCCCAUAUUGACGCUGAGGCACGAAAGCGUGGGGAGCAAACAGG